RNAcentral lists this long non-coding RNA (249 nucleotides) under Physcomitrium patens. RNAcentral's name for it is "long non-coding RNA (PPAT_LNC014622)". The record is from RNAcentral. Lineage: Eukaryota; Viridiplantae; Streptophyta; Bryopsida; Funariales; Funariaceae.
CAAACCUAGACUCACUACAAUCUUCAGUAUAGCUGUACUCAAAAGUCACACGAUCGAGCAUUGGCAUGAAAAUCCAACAGAUAACGGCUACGAGGCAAAAAAAGAAAAAAAGAAAAAAUUAAAAAAAUGGAGGCAGCAUGAGUAAAACGGAAGUGUGACCGUCAGUCCAAACAGGAUUCAUGAUAACAUUUCACCUGGAUGGGCUCAAAUGCAACAAUCUUCUACAUCACUUACCUACAACAUUGUAAC